GCCCCUUAUCGCCCUUUUGGCUAAGAUCAAGUGUAGUAUCUGUUCUUAUCUGUUUAAUAUCUGAUACGUCCUUAUCUGGCGACCAUAUAUUAAAUUGAUUUUUGAAGUCGGGAGAUGGAAUAGGUGCUUGCUCCUUCCACUCCACGCAUUGACCUGGUCUUGCAGUACAUCCAGGAACCUGGUCUUGCAGUACAU
This is a small nuclear RNA of Hippocampus zosterae (dwarf seahorse), 195 nucleotides long. RefSeq annotates it as U2 spliceosomal RNA. The transcript has a single exon. The record is from RefSeq and is a predicted model, not a curated record. Lineage: Eukaryota; Metazoa; Chordata; Actinopteri; Syngnathiformes; Syngnathidae.